CAUUAGAUCAGAGAUAUAACAUGUGGAUGUCAACCAUAUCUACACAAAACAGAGGAAACCGACAUUAAGGCAACUACAAAAAUAAAUUACAUGCUGGAAGCUAAAACAAUUCUGUUAUUCCAUUUUCAAAAAAGACUUUUAUACCCUCCAAAACUGAUAAAUUCAGUAAAAACAGUAAUAUCGUCAAUUAUUAUUACAGCUUAAAUGUAUUUUGGUGAAGGCAAACUGAAUUAUCAUAGUUUCCUCCAUUUGUCAGUGUCAUGUUGUCAUCAACAUUAAAAAAACAGUUGUGCAGCCUCAUAUUUUUGUGGAAACUGUGAAUUAUAACUACCUGUAUUAAGUUAUGGUUCAAUAAUUGUUUUAAUACUUUUCCUAAGCAGACAUGAACUGAUCAAAAGUGGCAGUAUUUAACAAUGUUACAUAAGAUUUGGGAAUUUAUUUAUUUAUUUUUACUUUUUGAAAUUAGUUUUGAAAGAACGCUGAAAAAAUGCAUCAGUUUAUUACAAAACUUUAAAAUGCAUAAGUUUGUCACAAAAAAAUUCACACAAUAAUAAGCAGCACAACCUUUUUCAACAGUGAUAAUAAUAUAAGUUUAUGCGUAAUAAUUACAUUAUAUAAUUAAUUUCUGAUUUAUAAUUUAUAUAUCGAUUAUGUUAAGAAAUGAAAUACUUAUUUUAAUGGGAAAUAUAUCUUACAUAUCACUGUUUUAACUGUUUCUCAUCAAAUGAAUGCAGCAUUGAUCACCGACAAACAAAACAACUUCAGCUUGCUCUUCCUCUGCAUUCGGUGCACAAGAAAAAAAGUCGUUUUUAAGCUUCUAACACCGUCUUCUCCUCCCUGACGCAUUCAUUACUCAAAAUAAAUGAAUGGAUAAAUAAAUUGUUAGCAUAAAUCGUCCACGAUUCAAACUUCGAGUUCUCACUUCAACCUGCUGACUUAAAACCAUUAUACCUUUAUAAAGUACUCUAAGUAUAUUCCGAUCACAAAUUAAGAAAAAUACAUCUAAACUGUAAUUCAACAUUUUCUGUGGCAUAUCGCGCUCAUUUACGAUCAAAGCGGGAAGCCGCCGGCACCCGCUACCCAGACAAAAUGGAUAAGUCCCGUUAGUAUCUACGUUACCUCACGCGGACGCCGUGUGUGAAUCUGAGUCGAUUCGCCAUCCCUCAGACACGGCUGUGUGAAGUUUCAGAGCUCUGUCUAUUUUUACCUCGUGGAUCAGUGGAAAACUAUAUAGACGCUUAUGGAACAGCAGAAAAUACUUGCAUUAAAUCACCACGCACGCAGCAUUAAUCAGGCCCCACGGAUUUAUAAUGCAUCACGGUCACCUCAAACAAAAGUAAUGUUUUAAUGGAAGGUUAAUAAUAUGAAUUACUGUGCUAAAAACACAUUCAAGCAGGAAACCAGCCCCACUCUCAAAAAAAAAAAAGAAAAAAAAAAAGAACAGAUUUCGCGCUCAUUUACGAUCAAAGCAGGAAGCCGCCCGCACCCCGUGACUGAGACGAAACGGAGAAGUCCCGUUAAUAUCUAACGUUACCUCACGCGGACGCCGUGUGUGAAUGAGCCGAUUCGCCAUUACUAUCGUGUCAGACACGGCGGUCUGUUUGUAGUUUCAGAGCUCUGUAUUUUUCUACCUCGUGGAUCAGUGAAAGACCACUAAAUAGACGCUUAUAGAACAGCAUUAAAUACUUGCAUUAAUCACCACGCACGCAGCAUUAAUCAGGCCUCACUGAUAUACAAUUCCUCACAGUGACCUCACACAACAUUAUUUCUUAAAUAGGUGGUUAAUAUUAGGAAAUACUCUCCCAAUACUGUCCUAAAAUUCAGCAGCGGCCUAACGUCAAUGACUAACCUCUGCUAAAAUAACUUAAAAAAUGCACUCCUUCCUGCAAUAUUGCGAUAAUAUUCAGAAUUAGCUAAUGUAUUCACAAACUUCAAUCAACAAUAGUAGUAUACACCACCUGGGAAACAUAUUUCAUUUCUCAAAAUUCGUUAUUAAAGGCAGACGUUAGAAAAGUAAACCAGCCCACUUACCUCAGGGAGAUUUCUGUAACAUCUGCGUUGGUGUCACUAUAUCAGGGUAUUACUCAGCCAAUCAGCACAGCGAACCUGCGCAGCCAAUAGUCAUGCAGCGGUUACUCUUCUGUCCAUAUAUAGAAGAGAGAGACCAUGGAGACGGAGGAUAUUUUUUUGAAUGUUUGCGCCAAGCCUUAAUAUUAAAAAUUAAAUAAUCGAUUAAACCUUCCAUAUAUUAUAAAGUUGAAGACGGUUAAAUGUAAAUAAUGUAAAAAAAAAAAAAAAAGAAAAAUACAAAAAAAGUCUUCGUUUUUAAGAUCACCAUGAGUCAUAUAAUAUAUAAUUUUUUAAUAAUGAGCACUUUAAAAUACAGAGAAAGAGACAUUGAAUUCAUCUGAUUAACGUGUAUAUAUAUUAUAAUUUUAAGGAACAUGAAGCAUUACAACCAGAAAUAUUAAAUUAUUUAAAUGUUAAAUAUUUAAAUAUUAAAUUCCCAACUCUAAUGAAGAUUAAACCAAUGAAAUUUAAAAUAUGGAUUGAUGGAUAUACAUUGAUGUGAUAUAAUGAUAUACUUAUGCAAUGCAAUUGUACACACAUAAAUAUAAUAUAUACACAUCACUAAGAAGGAUUUUUUUAAAAGGUUUUUGUAGAUUUAUUUAAGAUGUUUUAUACUAGUAACAUGCCACAUUAUAAAUAUUUAAUAUAUAAUUUCCCUUGUCCAAUGAACCCCUUCAUGUCCUCAUCAUAAUCAGUAAGCAAAAUUAAUUUGUGUACUGGUCUACGAUGUUGCUGAUAAACUUUCUUGUCUUGUUAAGCUUCCAUCAACACUGCUCAGCGAUGCUGUAGAAUAUGUUGUAUCCUUGCUGCUGUUUCUGUGUUGUUUUUAUGGGUGAUUGGCAGCUUUUUGCUAGUGUGUUAUUAGUCAGUUGCUAAUAUGGGUAUUUCCGAACAGUUACCAUGUUGUUGCUACGGUACUUUGUGUGAUUGUUAAAAAGCUAUUAGGGUCUUCUGAGUGGUUGCUAGGUGGUUUUUAGGCUGUAGAUAGGUUGUUCUGAGUGGUUAAGUGGGGUGGUUGCUUGGACGGUUGAUAAGAUCCCCAGGAUGGUUGCUACGGCCAUUGCUAAGGUACCCAGGAUGGUUGUUAGGGUAAUCGGGGUGGUUGCUAGGGCGUUGCUAUGUGGUUGGAUGGUUGAUAGGGCCAUUGCUUGGGUGCCCAGUAUGGUUGCUAGGUUUAAUUGGGGUGGUUGCUAGGGCGUUGCUAUGUGGUUGCUAGGGUACUCGGGUUGGUUGCUAUGGGGGUUUCUAGGGUACCAAGGAUGGUUGCAAGGGCGGUUACUAGGGUACCCAGGGUGGUUGCUAGGGUAAUCAAGGUGGUUGCUGGGGUGUUGCUAUGUGGUUGCUAGGGUCCACAUGAUGGUUGCUAAGGUACCAAGGGUGGUUGCUAGGAUAAUCUGGGUGGUUGCUAGGUUCCCCGUAAUGGUUGCUAGGGCCGUUGCUAAGGUACACAGGGUGGUUGCUAGGGUAAUCGGGGUGGUUGCUAGGGCGUUGCUAUGUGGUUGCUAAGGUACCUGGGGUGGUUGCUAGGGCGGUUGCUAGGGUCCCCACGAUGGUUGCUAGGGCCGUUGCUAGGGUACUCAGGGUGGUUGCUAGGGGACUCAGGGUUGGUUGCUAGGGUGUUGCUAUGUGGUUGCUAGGGUACCCGGGGUGGUUGCUAGGGCGGUUGCUAGGGUAACCUGGGUGGUUGCUAGGCAGUUGCUACGGUACUUGGGGUGGUUGCUAAGGUGUUGCUAGGCGGUUGCUAGGGUGUUUUGGCUGGUUGCUAGGCAGUUGCUAUGGUCUCCUGGGUGGUUGCUAUGAUGUUACUAGGUGGUUGGUAGUUGUCACAGAUGGUCACUAUGUAGUUAUUAUAGAGUUCUUAGCCCAUUUGAACACUUAGCUAAUCACUAUUAGCAUGUAGCUAAUCACUGCUAGCAUGACUAGCAUGUUGGAAGUCCAGUGUGCUAGCAUGACUCAAAAAAUCCAACCGCCAUGUCUGAACGAUGUUCUGAUGCAGAGAUAUAGGUCGUGCAAAACGGUUGCUAGGGUACUCCAUUUGGUUGCUAGGGAGUGGCUUGGCAGCUGCCAAUGAUGAUACUCCAAAGGCUGCUCGUCAAUAUAAACCAACCCCCAUGUCUCUAGGAUGUUCUGAUGUGGAGAUAUAGAUCUUGCAAAAUGGUUGCUAGGGUACUGUGUUUGGUUGUUAGGGAGUGGCCUGGCAACUGCCAAUGAUGAUACUCCGAAGUCUGCUUGCUAGUAUGAAUGACAUAAACCAACCCCCAUGCCUUUAUGAUAUUCAGAUUUGAAGAUAUCUCUCUAUGCUUUUGGUCGCUAGGGAGGUCCAAAUGGUUGCUAGGGCGUGGCUAUGAAGUGCUGAAGGUGAUUCGUGAUUGGCCAUUUGCCGCCCCGAGUCAAACGAGCCCACCCUCAUGUUUCUAUGACACUUCUAUCCAAAGUUAUUCAUUUUAACUUUUUCAAUGGAAGUCUAUGGAGCUUGUUGCUAUGGUGCUCUAUAUGGUUGCUAGGGCGUGGCUUGAUAACUUCAUAGUGACCCUGAGAGACUGAUUGGUUGCCUGAUUCAAAUGAGCCCACCCCCUUGUCUCUAUGACUAUGUGAUCCAUAGUUAUGUUCAAUGCAAAAUCCCUAUGUAAUUUCCCACAGUAGGAAAAACACAUUGUUUCAUGGGCGAUCCCUCCCCAUUGGCUUAGUAUGGGGCAACUUUGGGGGGCUCUUGCGCCCCAGGGGUACAACUUAUACCCCAUUGCGGGGUAUGAUCGCGCACAGCCUGAUAGCCUCUCCAAAUGUGGUGAUUCACAUGUUUCUGCGAAAUUCUCUCUCGGAGCUACGAUCCGUCAAAGUUGGCCGUAAUGCAUUGUCUAUGCGAUUUUUCGGCCGUUUUUUCGCCCGGUGUACGAACAUCGUACGCCCGAUCGCUUAUAAAAGUCAUAGCACACCAUUCCCGAUUAGGCCGCACGAUUUGACGCCUGUUUCGUUGGUCUGUGUCAAAAACUGCGGGACAAGUUACGCGCCGAAAUUUUGGCGGAAGAAGAAUAAGAAUAACUAGAAGGUACAUUUCCUGAAGAAAAUGUGAGUGGUGCUUGCAGUGGCAAAACUCUGCGCCCUGUUGCUAGGUUGUUGCAAUGAGGUUGCUACGGUGGUUGCUAAGGUACCCUGGGUGGUUGCUCAGGCGGUUGCUAGGGUCCCCAUGAUGGUUGCUAAGGUACCCAGGGUGGUUGCUAGGGUAAUCUGAAUGGUUGCUAGGGUCUUGCUAUGUGGUUGCUAGGGUAACCGGGGUGGUUGCUAGGGCGGUUGCUAGGGUCCCCAUGAUGGUUGCUAGGGCCGUUGCUAGGGUACCCAGGGUGGUUGCUAGGGUGUUGCUAUGUGGUUGCUAGGGUACCCGGGGUGGUUGCUAGGGCGGUUGCUAUGGUAACCUGGGUGGUUGCUAGGCAGUUGCUACGGUACUUGGGGUGGUUGCUAAGGUGUUGCUAUGUGGUUGCUAGGGUACCCGGGGUGG
Long non-coding RNA from Carassius gibelio (silver crucian carp), 5563 nucleotides. RefSeq lists it as uncharacterized. The record is from RefSeq and is a predicted model, not a curated record. NCBI's taxonomy places the organism in Eukaryota, Metazoa, Chordata, Actinopteri, Cypriniformes, Cyprinidae. The transcript has 3 exons.